AAAACUUUUCGCUAAUAGAAGAGCCUAUGUAGGAUUAGGUAGUUGGUAUUUUGGGUAAAAGCCUACCAAGCCUAAGAUCCUUAGCUGUUCUGAGAGGUUGAACAGCCACACUGGGACUGAGACAAGGCCCAGGCUCCAUUUGGAGCCAGCAGUGAGGAAUUUUGGACAACGAGCGAAAGCUUGAUCCAGCAAUACUACAUGAGUGAAGAAGGCUUUCAAGUUGUAACACUCUUUGGUUGAGGAGGAUAAUGACAGUACUCAACAAAAUAGCCCCGGCUAACUUCGUGCCAGCAGCCGCGGUAAGACGAAGGGGGCGAGCGUUAUCCGGAAUGACUGGGCGUAAAGGGUCCGUAGGCAGCAUUUUUUGUUGGAAGUUAAAUAAAAAAGCUUAACUUUUUUCCGCUUCUAAAACGUAAAUGCUUUGAGUUUGAUAGAAGAUAGCAGAAUUUCACAAGGAGGGGUGAUAUCCAGAGAUCUGUGAAGGAAUAUCAGAUGCGAAGGCGGCUAUCUAGAUCAACACUGACGUUGAGGGACGAAAGCAUGGGGAGCAAACAGGAUUAGAUACCCUGGUAGUCCAUGCCCUAAAAGAUGAGUGUUCGUGCUUAGAGAACUUUAGGCACUUAGUUAACACGUUAAACACUCCGCCUGGGGAGUACGAUCGCAAGGUUGGAACUCAAAGGAAUUGACGGGGGCCUAUACAAGUGGUGGAGCAUGUGGUUUAAUGCGAUAAUACGCGCGAAACCUUACCAGUUCUUGACAUAAAAAAGAAAAAGUUUGAAAAAGCAAUUUUAAAGAUUUUUACAGGUGCUGCAUGGCUGUCGUAAGCUCGUGUCGUGAGAUGUUAGGUUAACUCCUUUUAACGGGCGAAACCCCUUUUUUUCGUUGCUACUUAAUUUUAUUUUUAAAGCACUCUAAAAAAACUGCUCCCUUUUUUUAAUUCGGAGAGGAAGGUGGGGAUGACGUCAAGUCCUUAUGGCCCUUAUGAACUGGGCUACACACGUGCUACAAUGGUAAAGACAAUAAGAAGUGAUAGGGUAACCUAAAACCAAUCUUUAAACUUUAUCAAAGUUCGGAUUGUGGACUGCAACUCGUCCAUAUGAAGGUGGAAUCACUAGUAAUCGCACAUCAGCAUGUUGCGGUGAAUUUGUACCUAGGCCUUGUACACACCGCCCGUCACGUGCCGGGAGUCGGC
Molecule: ribosomal RNA, 1192 nt
Filed under: uncultured organism
Description: bacterial SSU rRNA
Rfam family: Bacterial small subunit ribosomal RNA
Source: RNAcentral